UACGGAGGGUGCAAGCGUUAUCCGGAUUCACUGGGUUUAAAGGGUGCGUAGGUGGGCUAGUAAGUCCGUGGUGAAAUCUCCAAGCUUAACUUGGAGACUGCCGUGGAUACUAUUAGUCUUGAAUAUUGUGGAGGUAAGCGGAAUAUGUCAUGUAGCGGUGAAAUGCUUAGAUAUGACAUAGAACACCGAUAGCGAAGGCAGCUUGCUACACAAUCAUUGACACUGAGGCACGAAAGCGUGGGGAUCAAACAGG
RNAcentral lists this ribosomal RNA (253 nucleotides) under uncultured bacterium. RNAcentral's name for it is "partial 16S ribosomal RNA". It matches the Rfam family "Bacterial small subunit ribosomal RNA", at positions 524 to 776 of the family's 1533-position model. The record is from RNAcentral.